UACGGGGGGGGGAAGCGUUGUUCGGAAUUACUGGGCGUAAAGGGCUCGUAGGCGGCCAACUAAGUCGGACGUGAAAUCCCUGGGCUCAACCCAGGAACUGCGUCCGAUACUGGUUGGCUUGAAUCCGGGAGAGGGAUGUGGAAUUCCAGGUGUAGCGGUGAAAUGCGUAGAUAUCUGGAGGAACACCGGUGGCGAAGGCGACAUCCUGGACCGGUAUUGACGCUGAGGCGCGAAAGCCAGGGGAGCAAACGGG
This 253-nucleotide ribosomal RNA is filed under the name uncultured bacterium. RNAcentral's name for it is "partial 16S ribosomal RNA". It matches the Rfam family "Bacterial small subunit ribosomal RNA", at positions 524 to 776 of the family's 1533-position model. The record is from RNAcentral.